Molecule: long non-coding RNA, 1168 nt
Filed under: Trifolium pratense (red clover)
Lineage: Eukaryota; Viridiplantae; Streptophyta; Magnoliopsida; Fabales; Fabaceae
Description: long non-coding RNA (TPRA_LNC011043)
Source: RNAcentral
UGAAGCAAUCAAAUGCUGAUUUCCAUUUAAUUAAAUUUCAAGCAAUUUAAACAACAAAGUGGAAAGAUUAAAAGGGGUCAAAGACAAAUAAUAUAGUCACUAAAGCUGUCACAAUCAAAUUGUCAAAAACAACAUACUAUAAAACAUUUUGUAUGCCAACUACUUAGAAUUAGAAGAAUCAACUCAAAAACUAUGUGCCUUGUUAAAAAUACACUUGUAAACGCGUUCAUACUCAAAUUGAAGACCAAUAUAAACUCUUCCUGGCCGAAUAGUCGAGAGGCAUGUAAUCCUUCCAGCUACUUGUAUUGUAGCUGCUGCUGGUGGUACUCCUGCAUAUGAAACGGGAGAUUUUCUUGCAACUAUUUCAAGGUUCGUGAUCCUAAAUUAUUUCAAGGUCUUCAUCAUAAUGGUUGACACAUCUUGAGAUGUUAUCUCUGCGCAAAUACAAAAGAUAUAAAUUUCCGCAACAUAUAGAGAAUAACUAACAGUAUGCAAAAACAAUAUGGCCCGUAUUCUUUCCAUGCACCAGCCAAUAUUUAAUUAUUCGAUAAAAGAUGCUAAGCUAUAGCACAAGGAAUACCAAAGUAAAACAAUACAGAGCUUAGUUCAGUAAAACUAUAGUACUAACCAACCGCACUCUAAAAACAUACCAAACCGCCACAUUCAAACAAUAGCAAGCCUGUAUUUAAGACAGUAAGAUUAAUUCAACCCCAAAUCUCCUUGCUAUCACACAUCAAAUAUUUAGUGUCCCAAACAGACACACAUUUUGUUAAUGAAAGACUAGAUUUGCAUAUUACUUUAAAAUAAAAAAGACCAAACACACCAAUGGGACAAGCAGUAUCAAAGAAAAACUGAAACUAGAUUUUACUAACACGUCUAUUUGAAACUGAAAUUCUGCUACUGGCAGAAUUCUGAAAAACUAAAACCGGAUUUUAAAAUAGCAACAAGUUCUCCGUUCUACCAAUUCUGCUAGCAGCAGUAGCUAGGGCAGUGUACGGUUGGAUAUUUUUGAAAACCUAACCAUAUCCAUUUAUAAACCACUUAUGAAGAUUAGGAUUUAUAAUCAAGUCCAAUUUUUUUGUUUAAAAACAGUUAAAUAACCAAUUAUUUCCCAAAUCCAGUUUUUAAGACCACUUCUAAAAAAUAAAAACCCUAGAUCUUUAGUCUA